AAUCUGAACAAGCGGUAAAUUUAUUUACGCAGCUGGGUUACAUGAAAAAUGUAACAGCAGAGCCAGAGCGCACUGUGAGACAG
Molecule: regulatory RNA element, 83 nt
Organism: Facklamia hominis
Lineage: Bacteria; Bacillati; Bacillota; Bacilli; Lactobacillales; Aerococcaceae
Rfam family: NiCo-AnGGAG riboswitch aptamer
About the family: Nico riboswitches are selective metalloregulatory riboswitches that recognice Ni2+ and Co2+ metals.
Source: Rfam